GGGCUGGGGCUCAGUGGUAGAACGCUCACCUCGCAUGUGCGAGACCCUGGGUUGGAUCCUCAGCAUCACA
Molecule: transfer RNA, 70 nt
Filed under: Marmota monax (woodchuck)
Lineage: Eukaryota; Metazoa; Chordata; Mammalia; Rodentia; Sciuridae
Description: tRNA.Ala
Source: RNAcentral